AUUUUAAGUUGUAACGGUGGAGAAAAUGUCUAGAAACAGAAAGGACGUAAUGGGAAUUUUGAAGACAAAUUUUCUGGUGGCACAGUACCGAGCCUUUUCUUUUUCUCCCAUUUUCUUCUUCUUCUUCUUCCCCGCGAUUUCUUCUCUCUCGUGUUUCUUUUGCAACAGUCACUAUACAGUGACUGUUUAAUUUCCCGGCCACUAAUCGACUCCGUCGUGCAUCGGUUGAACGCGCCACCUUCAGGAAUUCUCCAAUUUUUCCAAAUUUUGGCCGGCAAUUUUUUGAGCUUUUCCGGCGACUCCGGCUACCGUUUCCAUCGAUUGAGGAGGGUAUGGGGAGGGAGCACUUGGCUAACAAGGCAACUUCCCAAGCACGUUGCAAACGCAAGGGUAAGACGACUACUGGGGUGCCCCCUCAGAAAAAAGCAAAGGGAAACAACAUCAGUUCUAUUGUAACCACUAAGCAAGGGCACGGUUCCCGACCAAAACACAAAAGCCAUGCAUAUCACCCAUUGUUCUGUGUGAGAAGAUACAUACACAAGAACCACAGCGAAUUCGAUCCGGUGGUACAUGUCAAAAUUACUGACCAUUUAUCUUACAGGGUAGAUAUUGAAUUCGGGUAACCACUUUAAGGGAUGCGGAAAUGACAAAUUCUGUGGUUUAUGGUUUCAAAGCCAUUUGCCUGGUCCAGUAAAGGAUAAAGUCAAAGCAACAAAGUUUUCAUUAGUUUGCAAAAUUACUUGCAAGAAAGGGAUGGAGAGAUAGACACCUCAUUACGGCAUUGGCGGGGCGUUGGUGGGACAGUACCUGUACAUUCUAUUUGGAUGAGGUCGGGGAGCUUAUAAUGACCCCAAAGGACUUUAGUGCAAUCUCGAGUUUACCUGUUUGUGGGAAACCUUUAAAUUAUGACAUGGAGGCCUACAAAAACACUAUAGAGAUAGUGAGGCUAUUCGGGAACCCCAUUGCAAGCAUAAUUAAGGACAAAAACAUUGUGGAUAAGUACAAGGAAUGGAAGCUGCAAACCACUAUACAAGAAAACCUGUUAACUCGUGUCUUCAUUCUCACAUUGGUCGACAACACUAUAUGCAAUGAUAAGAGCAACUCUGUUUAUCUAUACUAAAUGCCCAGCAUGGCUAAAGUGGAUGAGAUUAAAGAGUACAAUUGGGGUGGGGCUGGGUUGUCAUGCUUGUAUCUGUCGAUGGAUGCUAUUUCUAGAAGGAUAGUGUCAAGCUCACGAGGGUAUUUUCAGGCUUGGGAGGUAUGGGCGUGAAGUACUCGAAGCCACUUGCUUUAAGUCAACCAUUUACCGAUGAAAGUAGUUAAUGGUUUCGCGCGUUAUGGUGGUUGGGUGGCUUGGAUGUGCGGGAAACACCCCACAACUUGGAGCAGUUUAGAAUAACUAUGAGAUAUAUCACUACUGAUCAAGUCAAUUGGCAUCCAUGGGGAACUGAUGAUACAACCCUACAACAUUAUGUGCAAAGCAGCAUUCUAGCUACAAAACAAAGAAUUCUACUCGAAGGACUUGUCGGGUAUGCCUGGUAUUAAGGGGAAAGAGUAUCCGUGCAAAGCCUAGCUACACCAGAUCAGAGGAUCCUAAAAAUACCCCGUUGAACUAUACUCUAAGAUGUGAAAGUAUAUGCCGUGGACAAUGAAACCAAAGCAUCACUUAAGGGAUUUAAAGCAGAGGACUGGUUUGCUAAAUCCACUGAUUAUCGAGUGUUUCGAAAUGAGUAUGUGAGGUAUAAGCAUUAUCCAAGUGUGGCUGCGAAUACUGUGGAAGAUGGUGUGUAUUUUGUUGGUCCGAGCGUUCAAGCUAGUGAAAUUAAAAAUCCACCAUUUACUGUUCAAGUGGUGGGAUGAUGGGAUGAUGGGACGCAGAUGAUUGUGAAGAAUUGGACAUGCCAAGAGGCACGUCUAGCAAGUGCCUUAUACUCUCGGGGGAUGUGAAAUAUGUAAGUGCAUCCACAGCAGUAGAACUAUUGGAUAUGAUUAGUCGGCUAAAUUCCUCGCUCAUCACAAACUUACAUUCGCGGCCACACUUGGAUAAUGCUUAUACCUCAUGUACUCAUUUCGAAACACUCCAUAAUCAGUGGAUUCAACAAACCAGUCCUCUGCCUUAAAUCCCUUAAGUGAUGCUUUGGUUUCAUUGUCCACAGCAUAUACUUUCACGUCUUUGAGUACAGUUCGAUCGGGUAUUUUUGGGAUUAGCUAAUCUAGUGUACCUAGGCUUUGCACGGAUACUCUUUCCCCUAAAUACCAGGCAUACCAGGCUGGUCCUUCGAGUAGAAUUCUUUGUUUUGUAGUUGGAAUGCUGCUUUGCACAUAAUGCUGUAGGUUUGUAUCACAGUUCCCAAUGGAUGCCAAUUGACUUGAUCAGUAGUGAUACAUCUCGUAGUUAUUCUAAACUACUCCAAGUUGUGAUAUAUCUUGAUCAAUAAAAAUGUUUAGAAUGAUUACAUUCC
Long non-coding RNA from Prunus dulcis (almond), 2462 nucleotides. RefSeq lists it as uncharacterized. The transcript is spliced from 6 exons. Lineage: Eukaryota; Viridiplantae; Streptophyta; Magnoliopsida; Rosales; Rosaceae. The record is from RefSeq and is a predicted model, not a curated record.